UACGAACUGUGCAAACGUUAUUCGGGAUCACUGGGCUUACAGGGUGCGUAGGCGGCUUGACAAGUAGGGUGUGAAAGCCCCCGGCUUAACCGGGGAACUGCGCCCUAAACUGUCGAGCUGGAGUGAGAUAGAGGUGUGCGGAACUUCCGGUGGAGCGGUGAAAUGUGUUGAUAUCGGAAGGAACGCCGGUGGCGAAAGCGGCACACUGGGUCUCAACUGACGCUGAGGCACGAAAGCCAGGGGAGCGAACGGG
This 253-nucleotide ribosomal RNA is filed under the name uncultured bacterium. RNAcentral's name for it is "partial 16S ribosomal RNA". It matches the Rfam family "Bacterial small subunit ribosomal RNA", at positions 524 to 776 of the family's 1533-position model. The record is from RNAcentral.